This 497-nucleotide ribosomal RNA is filed under the name uncultured bacterium. Its description in RNAcentral is "partial 16S ribosomal RNA". It matches the Rfam family "Bacterial small subunit ribosomal RNA", at positions 28 to 507 of the family's 1533-position model. The record is from RNAcentral.
GAUGAACGCUGGCGGCGUGCCUAAUACAUGCAAGUCGAGCGAACAGACGAGGAGCUUGCUCCUUUGACGUUAGCGGCGGACGGGUGAGUAACACGUGGGUAACCUACCUAUAAGACUGGGACAACUUCGGGAAACCGGAGCUAAUACCGGAUAAUAUUUCGAACCGCAUGGUUCGAUAGUGAAAGAUGGCUUUGCUAUCACUUAUAGAUGGACCUGCGCCGUAUUAGCUAGUUGGUAAGGUAACGGCUUACCAAGGCAACGAUACGUAGCCGACCUGAGAGGGUGAUCGGCCACACUGGAACUGAGACACGGUCCAGACUCCUACGGGAGGCAGCAGUAGGGAAUCUUCCGCAAUGGGCGAAAGCCUGACGGAGCAACGCCGCGUGAGUGAUGAAGGUCUUCGGAUCGUAAAACUCUGUUAUUAGGGAAGAACAAACGUGUAAGUAACUGUGCACGUCUUGACGGUACCUAAUCAGAAAGCCACGGCUAACUACGUG